This is a long non-coding RNA of Toxorhynchites rutilus septentrionalis, 343 nucleotides long. RefSeq lists it as uncharacterized. The transcript has 3 exons. The record is from RefSeq and is a predicted model, not a curated record. NCBI's taxonomy places the organism in Eukaryota, Metazoa, Arthropoda, Insecta, Diptera, Culicidae.
UUUAGUAGUUGAAACAUUGGUAAAAUGUACGCAUUUUUUGUACAUAUUACCAAAACUUUGUAAAACGGAUGUCUUAUGCAAUAUACAUCCCUACUAAAGAUUCGUACAUUUUACUUCAUAGCAUGUGUAACCUUGAUUGUUUUCAUUUCUAGGAACUGUAAUGUGCGUAUUUCGCAGUCGUCAUUCUUCUUGAGGAAACAAAGCCAUUCGGAGUUUCUAACCUUGGAUUAAAAUUGCACAGUUUACUGGUGGAAUAUUCAAUGUAUACUAGACUAAGCAUUUGCAACACAAAUAAAUGUCAGGAAACGGGAUAGCAAAUAAUGCGGAUGAAAUGUACUGCGAU